This 254-nucleotide ribosomal RNA is filed under the name uncultured bacterium. Its description in RNAcentral is "partial 16S ribosomal RNA". It matches the Rfam family "Bacterial small subunit ribosomal RNA", at positions 524 to 776 of the family's 1533-position model. The record is from RNAcentral.
UACGUAGGGUGCAAGCGUUAAUCGGAAUUACUGGGCGUAAAGCGUGCGCAGGCGGUUGUGUAAGACAGAUGUGAAAUCCCCGGGCUCAACCUGGGAACUGCAUUUGUGACUGCACAGCUGGAGUGCGGCAGAGGGGGGAUGGAAUUCCGCGUGUAGCAGUGAAAUGCGUAGAUAUGCGGAGGAACACCGAUGGCGAAGGCAAUCCCCUGGGCCUGCACUGACGCUCAUGCACGAAAGCGUGGGGAGCGAACAGG